AACGAACGCUGGCGGCAUGCCUAACACAUGCAAGACGAACGAGACCUUCGGGUCUAGUGGCGCACGGGUGCGUAACGCGUGGGAACCUGCCCUUAGGUUCGGAAUAACUCCCCGAAAGGGGUGCUAAUACCGGAUAAUGUCUUCGGACCAAAGAUUUAUCGCCUUUGGAUGGGCCCGCGUUGGAUUAGCUAGUUGGUAGGGUAAAAGCCUACCAAGGCGACGAUCCAUAGCUGGUCUGAGAGGAUGAUCAGACACACUGGGACUGAGACACGGCCCAGACUCCUCCGGGAGGCAGCAGUUGGGAUAAUUGGACAAUGGGCGAAAGCCUGAUCCAGCAGUGCCGCGUGAGUGAUGAAGGCCUUAGGGUUGUAAAGCUCUUUUACCCGGGAUUAUAGUGACAGUACCGGGAGAAUAAGCUCCGGCUAACUCCGU
This 432-nucleotide ribosomal RNA is filed under the name uncultured bacterium. RNAcentral's name for it is "partial 16S ribosomal RNA". It matches the Rfam family "Bacterial small subunit ribosomal RNA", at positions 29 to 506 of the family's 1533-position model. The record is from RNAcentral.